AAGAAAAGUGGCAAGAAACAAGCCAAGUUAGAGCUGGGCAUUCAAAACUAAGAAUAAGCCUCAGUGUGUGAUUUAUUUGAGAGCUGGAUGGUAGGCCCCCCAAAAAACUAAAGAGCCAAAAGAGCAAAACAUCACACAGCAGCAGAUCCACUCGUGGGGUCCACAGGGUUGGCAGAUCCUGUUAAGACCAGCCUCACCUGGCACACCGGCCAUUGCUGGGAGCUGUGUGCUAUCAGCUGAGAAACAGAGAAUGGGGCGGGCGGGCCAUGGCUAGGGAGCAGUGCCGGCAUGACCUCUGGUGGCCCAGGACUGGGGAUAGGUGUGAACUCAUCCUCGAUACCUUCAGAAUUCUCAAGCAUCGCCAUUCCCGUGUAAGACUUUUGUGUUUGUGUGGGGAGAAGGCUCAACGCUGAAGAGCCUAGCGUUCCAGCUCCUUCCACAGAGCUGCCCUAGAUCACUAUUCUGAGGCACUCAGAACACUCUCUGCCCCGGGUCUGUUUUCUGCUUUAAAUUUCAGACUCUAUAACUCUACACCCUGCUGGCUCCACAUCUAUCCAUGUCUUCAAUGUCCCCACCCUUCAGAUGCGCCUUGCAUGGGACUCACCUGGCUCUUGUGGAGAAGCCACGAUCCGGGAGACCGAGCUGAGCAAGCCGCUGCACAUUGGUGUGGUGAGGAUGCUGUGCCUAGCUCUCUUGCAUCGGUUCCUUAGGAUGGACACUUCCUGCCCCCAAGCCUGAGGCCCCUUUGGCUGGUAACCUGCAGGGACACACUGCCAGGUCCAAAUUAACAUGUUCCUCAAGUCAUUUGACUCUGCAAAGCUACCUCAAGACCAAGCUACUUAGAGGGCUGAGUGGGGUCUGAGAGCGUUUAUGCUGUUGGGCUCCUGAUGGAAUGAGCCUGGCAUUAUCUGGCAAGAGUGGCUGUGGGGACCAAGGCAAGUGACCCUCUGGCCACAUAUGCCAAGGUCCUGCUCUCUGAAACCUAGCAAAGAACAUUAUAUCAUUCAAUUGUCAUGUGCUCUUUGAGUUCACUGAGAUGUUGGGUUGUACCCUCCCUGCCUCAGACCCAAGCACGUUUGUGUCAAGUGUCCUGCGACUCAACCCGAGAUGGGAAACAGCCUAAGAAUAGAAACACUGUGUUCUUGAGAACAGCUAGAAGGGAAGCCAUUUCCAACAGAGGCUACUACUGUUUAUCACACGGUAUAAAAGUGCCUGCAGUAGAAGUGGAGAGUGGAAGUUCAGCCAUGGAGAGCAAGCUCAAGCUGAGCCCCAGCUGACUGCCUCAACCUCCCUGUCUGUUUCUGAUGGAUGAUGUUAUCUGCCUUCUGCCCUUGGCCCUUUCAGUGGGAAGCUCAUUCAUGGCAAAUCUACUCUGCUGUCGGGACUCUUGACUGAGAAUUCGAGCAUGGUCACUCAGGCAUGGCUUCCCUAGUCAUCUGGAUACUGUGGAUGCCCCGGUUUGAUGGGGUUUUGUUAUCCAGCAGCUGCUUCUAUCUGCUCCUUACUGUCUAUUCUUUUCCUUGUGCACAGUGUAUACUUAAUAGAUAAAAACACUCAUUUGACAUGGAAA
Molecule: non-coding RNA, 1570 nt
Organism: Cricetulus griseus (Chinese hamster)
Lineage: Eukaryota; Metazoa; Chordata; Mammalia; Rodentia; Cricetidae
Source: RefSeq, a predicted model, not a curated record